RNAcentral lists this ribosomal RNA (900 nucleotides) under CFB group bacterium epibiont of Rimicaris exoculata. Its description in RNAcentral is "bacterial SSU rRNA". It matches the Rfam family "Bacterial small subunit ribosomal RNA", at positions 134 to 1028 of the family's 1533-position model. Lineage: Bacteria; Pseudomonadati. The record is from RNAcentral.
UAGUGAAGAAUAGCCCAGAGAAAUUUGGAUUAAUGCUUCAUAACAUUUUAAAACCGCAUGGUUUUAAUCUUAAAGCUCCGGCGGUAUAAGAUGAGUAUGCGUGAUAUUAGUUAGUUGGUGAGGUAACGGCUCACCAAGACUACCAUAUCUAGGGGGUCUGAGAGGACUAUCCCCCACACUGGUACUGAGACACGGACCAGACUCCUACGGGAGGCAGCAGUGAGGAAUAUUGGGCAAUGGAGGCAACUCUGACCAGCCAUGCCGCGUGAAGGAAGAAGGUCUUAUGGAUUGUAAACUUCUUUUAUUUGGGAAGAAACCUAUCUACGUGUAGAUAGCUGACGGUACCAAACGAAUAAGGACCGGCUAACUCCGUGCCAGCCGCCGCGGUAAUACGGAGGGUCCAAGCGUUAUCCGGAAUCAUUGGGUUUAAAGGGUGCGCAGGCGGUUUAUUAAGUCAGUGGUGAAAUCCCCGGGGCUCACUCCCAAACGCCAUUGAUACUGAUAAACUUGAGUUCGUUGGAGUAGGCGGAAUGUGUACUGUAGCGUGAAAUGCUAGAUAUUACCAGAACACCGAUAGCGAAGGCAGCUUACAAACUGAUACGACGCUGAGGCACCAAAGCCUGGGGAGCCAACAGGAUUAGAUACCCUGGUAGUCCCCCGCCGUAAACUAUGAUUACUCCAUAUUGGCGAUAUACCGUCCCGUGUCCAAGCCAAACUGAUAAGUAAUCCCCCCGGGGAGUACCGUCCCCAGAUUGAAACUCAAAGGAAUUGACCGGGGCCCCCCCCCAAGCGGUGGACCUGUCGGUUUAAUUCCCAUGAUCCCCCCCAGGAAACCUUAACCAGGGGCUUAAAUGUAGAACUGAACAGACUUGGAAACCAAGCUCCUCCCUCUCGGCCCUU